UACGUAGGGGGCAAGCGUUAUCCGGAUUUACUGGGUGUAAAGGGAGCGUAGACGGCAGUGCAAGUCUGGAGUGAAAGGCGGGGGCUCAACCCCCGGACUGCUCUGGAAACUGUACGGCUGGAGUGCAGGAGAGGUAAGUGGAAUUCCUAGUGUAGCGGUGAGAUGCGUAGAUAUUAGGAGGAACACCAGUGGCGAAGGCGGCUUACUGGACUGUAACUGACGUUGAGGCUCGAAAGCGUGGGGAGCAAACAGG
RNAcentral lists this ribosomal RNA (253 nucleotides) under uncultured bacterium. Its description in RNAcentral is "partial 16S ribosomal RNA". It matches the Rfam family "Bacterial small subunit ribosomal RNA", at positions 524 to 776 of the family's 1533-position model. The record is from RNAcentral.